RNAcentral lists this long non-coding RNA (1057 nucleotides) under Gallus gallus (chicken). Its description in RNAcentral is "lncRNA (ENSGALG00010009706.1)". Lineage: Eukaryota; Metazoa; Chordata; Aves; Galliformes; Phasianidae. The record is from RNAcentral.
UCCUGCACCAAAGGGCCGCAUUCAAAGCCCUGUGCAAAAAUCAGGUGCCAAAGCCCUGCACCAAAGUCCUGCACCGAAGUCCUGCACCACAGUCCUGCACCCAAAGCCCCAUACUCAGUUCUGCACCAAAGUGCUGCAGCCAAAAUCCUGCAACCACAGCCCUGCAGCAAAAUCCCACACCCAAAAUCCUGCGCCAAAGUCCUGCACCCAAAACCCUGCAACCAAAGUCCUGCAACCAAAGCCCUGCAGCAAAAUCCCACGCCCAAAGUCCUGCACCAAAGGGCCGCAUUCAAAGCCCUGUGCCAAAAUCAGCUGCCAAAGCUCUGCAACAAAGUCCUGCACUGAAGUCCUGCACCAAAGUCGUGCACCCAAAGCCCCAUACUCAGUUCUGCACCAAAGUCCUGCACCCAAAACCCUGCAUCAAAAUCUUGCAACCAAAGCCCUGCGUCCAAACCCCUGCAGCAAAGUCCUGCAUCCAAAAUCCUGCAUCCAAAGCCCUGCAGCAAAAUCCCACACCCAAAGUCCUGCACCAAAGUCCUGCAACCAAAGCCCUGCAUCCAAACCCCUGCAGCAAAGUCCCACACCCAAAAACCCUGCAUCAAAAUCCUGCAACCAAAGCCCUGCGUCCAAAGCCAUGCAGCAAAAUCCCACACCCAAAGUCUUGCACCAAAGCCCUGCACCCAAAAUCCUGCACCCAAACUCUGCACCCAAAGCCCUGCACCGAACAUCCUGCAACCAAAGCCAUGCAGGAAAACCCCACAGCCAAAGUCCUGCACCAAACCAUGCAGCAAAGCUGCAGCAAAGCCCUACACCCCCAAUGCUGCACCCAAAGCACUGCACCCAAAGCCCUGCACCGAACAUCCUGCAACCAAAGCCAUGCACUGAACAUCCUGCAACCAAAGCCAUGCAGGGAAACCCCACAGCCAAAGUCCUGCACCAAACCAUGCAACAAAGCCCUACACCCCCAAUCCUGCACCCCCAAUGCUGCACCCAAAGCCCUGCACCGAACAUCCUGCAACCAAAGGCAUGCAGGGAAACCCCACAGCCAAACUCCUGC